RNAcentral lists this ribosomal RNA (432 nucleotides) under uncultured bacterium. Its description in RNAcentral is "bacterial SSU rRNA". It matches the Rfam family "Bacterial small subunit ribosomal RNA", at positions 64 to 524 of the family's 1533-position model. The record is from RNAcentral.
GAACGCCUUGGGGGCGCAAGCUUCAGGGAGUGGCGGACGGGUGAGUAAGACGUGGGUUAUCUACCUUUCGGUGAGGAAUACCGGCGAGAAAUCGCCGACAAAACCGCAUGAGUUUCGUGCAAACGAAAGAAAGUCGCAAGACGCCGAAAGAUGAGCCUGCGGCCGAUUAGCUAGCUGGUGGGGUAAAAGCCUACCAGGGCGACGAUCGGUAGCUGGUCUGAGAGGACGAUCAGCCACACUGGGAUUGAGAACGGCCCAGACUCCUACGGGGGGCAGCAGUGAGGAAUUUUCGUCAAUGGGCGCAAGCCUGAACGAGCAACGCCGCGUGCAGGAAGAAGGUUUUCGGAUCGUAAACUGCUUUUCUGUGGGAAGAAAACGGACUGUACCACAGGAAGAAGCCCCGGCUAACUACGUGCCAGCAGCCGCGGUAAU